GACGAACGCUGGCGGCGUGGAUUAGGCAUGCAAGUCGGACGGUAGGGCUUUAUCGUAAGAUAGAGUUUGAGAGUGGCGAACGGGUGAGUAACACGUAGGAAUCUACCCUUAAGACGGGGACAACCCAGGGAAACUUGGGCUAAUACCGGAUGAGAGUGCGAGAGAUUGCAUUUAAAAGGAUGGCGAAAGUUGUCGCUUAGGGAUGAGCCUGCGGUCUAUUAGUUAGUUGGUGAGGUAAGAGCUCACCAAGGCGAUGAUAGAUAGGCGGCCUUAACGGGUGGUCGCCCACACUGGGAUUGAGAUACGGCCCAGACUCCUACGGGAGGCAGCAGUCGAGAAUAGUCUACAAUGGCCGGAAGGCUGAUAGUGCGACGCCGCGUGAACGAGGGAGCCUCGGGUGUAAGUUCUUUAUAUGUGAGCAGUGCUUCUUAUUAUUAACAGUAUGGGGAGAGAGAUAUUAGCAUAUGAAUAAGCAACGGCUAACUCCGUGCCAGCAGCCG
This 500-nucleotide ribosomal RNA is filed under the name uncultured bacterium. RNAcentral describes it as "bacterial SSU rRNA". It matches the Rfam family "Bacterial small subunit ribosomal RNA", at positions 28 to 517 of the family's 1533-position model. The record is from RNAcentral.